AAUGAACGCUGGCGGCAUGCCUAACACAUGCAAGUCGAACGAAGGCUUCGGCCUUAGUGGCGCACGGGUGCGUAACGCGUGGGAAUCUGCCCUCAGGUUCGGAACAACAGCGAGAAAUUGCUGCUAAUACCGGAUGAUAUCGCGAGAUCAAAGAUUUAUCGCCUGAGGAUGAGCCCGCGUAGGAUUAGCUAGUUGGUGUGGUAAAGGCGCACCAAGGCGACGAUCCUUAGCUGGUCUGAGAGGAUGAUCAGCCACACUGGGACUGAGACACGGCCCAGACUCCUACGGGAGGCAGCAGUGGGGAAUAUUGGACGAUGGGCGAAAGCCUGAUCCAGCAAUGCCGCGUGAGUGAUGAAGGCCUUAGGGUUGUAAAGCUCUUUUACCCGGGAUGAUAAUGACAGUACCGGGAGAAUAAGCUCCGGCUAACUCCGUGCCAGCAGCCGCGGUAA
Molecule: ribosomal RNA, 449 nt
Filed under: uncultured bacterium
Lineage: Bacteria
Description: partial 16S ribosomal RNA
Rfam family: Bacterial small subunit ribosomal RNA
Source: RNAcentral